GGGCAAAGCAAUAUAAGUGCCGUUUAAAGAACAGACAGACCGCUAACACAAUCUGAGGAGGGGGAGAUAAAGGAUUCAUUCAACAAUGGAGAAGGAAAAGCAGAGUAUAUUAAUGCCCCAGAGCCAACCCUCCUCUCCUCCCUGGCAAUCUCUACAGAUGCAUGGAUUCACCACCGCCCUCGCGGGAUGGAAUGCCAAACCACUUCACUUUGGGAUGAACUUCUGUGAAGAACCCUUCACUUCCCAGAGUGACGCUUCCUUUGUCCCACGACAAGAUUCCAUGCAGCCUCCCAUCACAGAUGGCUGGAGCAGCUGAGACUUCCUGCCAGAGAGAGGGAACAGAAGGUCAAUGUUGCUUUGUCCUCGUGGAAAAAUAACAAAUCCCAAGAUAUGGCAUGUUAUGCUCUCAGAAGCAUCUAGACGUCUAGACUCAUUUUUCUUGAAAGGGUAUGAAAGGUCAUGACCACGAGGCAGACAGCUGACAGUCAUCUCAGAGUUUUCAGGAGCAAGUGACAAAGUUCAAAACACUACAUGCUGUGGGCUGGGAUGUGGGCGACUCUGGUGGAAGAGGGGCACAGACUGCCUGCAGACAUCGUGGCUGCUACAGCAAUACAACCCCAGUGGGAAAACCAGAAAGAUCUUAGAGAAC
Long non-coding RNA from Ailuropoda melanoleuca (giant panda), 649 nucleotides. RefSeq lists it as uncharacterized. NCBI's taxonomy places the organism in Eukaryota, Metazoa, Chordata, Mammalia, Carnivora, Ursidae. The record is from RefSeq and is a predicted model, not a curated record. The transcript is spliced from 5 exons.